Cuculus canorus (common cuckoo) is the source of this 271-nucleotide RNA transcript. It is a transcript of the gene named DSN1 component of MIS12 kinetochore complex, with no coding region annotated. The record is from RefSeq and is a predicted model, not a curated record. The transcript has 4 exons. Lineage: Eukaryota; Metazoa; Chordata; Aves; Cuculiformes; Cuculidae.
GUUCCAACCUGAAGGGGACAAAGCGCCGAAAAUCCUUACCUCCUGUGCACCAAGACGUCACCGAAUUAUGCAAAUCGAUCAACCUGGAUCUGCCAGAGAUGGACAGGCUUUGCAUGCUGUUGUUAUCCAGCUUCCAGGAAAGGCUGCCAAGACCUUUCCUGUCUUCCUGUAGUUUUCUGCGCAGAAGUUUGAACACAUCUUGAAGGAAACUGAUGGCUUUAGCCCUGAGGCAUUCAGAGCCAACGUGCAUUCCGUUGCAGAAGACCUGAAG